This 253-nucleotide ribosomal RNA is filed under the name uncultured bacterium. RNAcentral describes it as "partial 16S ribosomal RNA". It matches the Rfam family "Bacterial small subunit ribosomal RNA", at positions 524 to 776 of the family's 1533-position model. The record is from RNAcentral.
UACGAAGGGGGCUAGCGUUGUUCGGAAUUACUGGGCGUAAAGCGCACGUAGGCGGAUAUUUAAGUGAGGGGUGAAAUCCCAGGGCUCAACCCUGGAACUGCCUUUCAUACUGGGUAUCUCGAGUUCGAGAGAGGUGAGUGGAAUUGCGAGUGUAGAGGUGAAAUUCGUAGAUAUUCGCAGGAACACCAGUGGCGAAGGCGGCUCACUGGCUCGAUACUGACGCUGAGGUGCGAAAGCGUGGGGAGCAAACAGG